This is a non-coding RNA of Rattus norvegicus (Norway rat), 1220 nucleotides long. The record is from RefSeq and is a predicted model, not a curated record. NCBI's taxonomy places the organism in Eukaryota, Metazoa, Chordata, Mammalia, Rodentia, Muridae.
GACUUAACACACCACUUUGGGUUUUCUAGAGCAGGCUAGCUUGCCAAACCCCGCGGGCGGGGCACCUUACUCUCUUCCCGCUAAAUAGGUAACUGCUUUUCCACAGGCAGUAGAACUCCUCUGCUCCAGGUUGCCUUCCCCCUCUCCUUGUGGCCAGCCUCUACUGUACUUCACAGACACUCCUUGAAACACCUUCGACCUUUUCCAUGCCUGCCAACAGCCUGCUUUGCCGUUACUCUGCACACUGCCACUUCCUUUUCAAAGCUGGACCACAGGCUGCGCUUCCAACAUGGCCGUCAGCCUCGCAACCCCAGAAGUUUGGAUAUCAAAAGCAAGAGAAGAGGUCCAACGGCAUUGAGUAGAGGCACCAGAGUUGUCCAUAACUAUGUCACACUGAACGGGACAGUCCCUGAAGAUGACAGGUCUCCAGCCACAUUGUAAUAGAGCGAGGAGUGGUAAAGAGUGGUUCAAGACGUCAAGGUGUUGGAACAUUCUCCAAGGUCCUAAGAAAAAGCAUGUUCAUACGGUCUCUUCUGUACCGCCUUCCAGUCAGUAGGAGCCGAUGCAGCCACAGCAGCUCUAAUUACUGACUGUACGACGGCUAGAAAAUAAUCACUUUCUUGCAAAGAAACUUCUCACUUGGCAGAAAGAAAAAUCAAUCCCAGAUUCUGACUGGCCGAGCUCUCCCCAACAUAUAGCAAAGCGCUCUGGACUGGAAGCAGCGUGCAAACGGCAGCUACACAAACCCCGAGAGCCUGGGAAGGGAGUGCGUUGAUUCAUCACCUCUGGGAAAUCAGAGGACUCUUCUUAAUUUAAUCUCUCUUCAACUCUAAAGAUUGGCUCUGUCACCCUUGUUCUUCAGAUAGGCGUAGGCUACGGUCAGAAAGAAGUUUCCAGAUACCUAUCUGUGCUCAACCCUUGUCCCCGCUCAUAUCUGCAACUGCAAAUUUGGUCGUGAAUAUGUGAAAACAGAUAUUAACCAGACACCGAGGGGUGAAGACAAGGCUAGGGGAGUUGACUCCAGCUGUCUAAGUAAGUCAUGUUGACAACCAGCUUGGCAUGAACUCAAUGACCUUUGGAAAAAAUCCCCAUUGUCUAUGCCACCAAGCACCUCCAAUUAAGCCAGGUUUGUGGCUGAAUGUCAAGUGGAUAAACAGACUCAGAGCAGGAGCAAAUGCUGGAUGGACCUCUAUUAACGUGACAGCUCUCUCGCUAAUAUU